UACGUAGGGGGCCUAGCGUUGUCCGGAUUUAUUGGGCGUAAAGAGCUCGUAGGCGGUUUGGUGAGUCGGGUGUGAAAUCUCCACGCUCAACGUGGAGGGGCCACCCGAUACUGCCAUGACUAGAGUCCGGUAGGGGAGUGUGGAAUUCCCGGUGUAGCGGUGAAAUGCGCAGGAUAUCGGGAGGAACACCAGUAGCGAAGGCGACACUCUGG
RNAcentral lists this ribosomal RNA (212 nucleotides) under uncultured bacterium. RNAcentral describes it as "partial 16S ribosomal RNA". It matches the Rfam family "Bacterial small subunit ribosomal RNA", at positions 524 to 732 of the family's 1533-position model. The record is from RNAcentral.